RNAcentral lists this ribosomal RNA (245 nucleotides) under uncultured archaeon. RNAcentral's name for it is "partial 16S ribosomal RNA". It matches the Rfam family "Archaeal small subunit ribosomal RNA", at positions 474 to 674 of the family's 1478-position model. The record is from RNAcentral.
UACAGGUAGCCCGAGUGGUAUCCACGAAUAUUGAGCCUAAAGCGCUCGUAGCCGGUUUUGCAAGUCUUCUGUGAAAUCCUCUGGCUCAACCAGAGGGCGUGCAGGAGAUACUACAAGGCUUGGGAGUGGGGGAGGUAAUGGGUACGUUAGGGGGAGGGGUAAAAUCCUGUAAUCCUUAACGGACCUUCAGUAGCGAAACUUUUUCUUUUUGGAAAAAAAGUAAAACUUUACCAAAAGAAAAAGCG